RNAcentral lists this non-coding RNA (148 nucleotides) under Chlorocebus sabaeus (green monkey). Lineage: Eukaryota; Metazoa; Chordata; Mammalia; Primates; Cercopithecidae. The record is from Rfam by way of RNAcentral.
GCCAGGUGUGGUAGUGGGCGCCUGUAAUCCCAGCUACUCGGGAGGCUGAGACAGGAGAAUCACUUGAACCCGGGAGGCAGAGGUUGCAGUGAGCCAAGAUUGUGCCACUGCACUCCAGCCUGGGUGACAGAGUGAGACUCUGUCUCAA